UGUAGGGAAGGGUGAGGUCAAGAGAACGGAGGGGAAGGAGAGGAACAGCAGUGGAGUUUCUGGUCCAGGCGCCGGGGAGGAGUGUGGAGUCCGUGAGCGUCAUGGAGAUGUCAGGGGGAAGAGCUCAUUGUGGGAAGAUGACUUUGGUCUGAAAACACUUAGAGUUUGAUGUGCAGGUGGAGUUGCCCCACAGGCAUCAGGAUGGCGGGUGCAGUCGGGGUUCUGGAAGCAGAUUUAGAGUCCUCCUCUGGGAAGCAGUCAUUGAGAUCAGCGUUCGUGGUCCAGAGAGGAGCCUGCAGGCUGGAGGUCCGCCAGGGGCUCCCCAGACAGAGGCUAGGGUGCAGGGAGAGCCGGGGGCCUGCAUUUGAAUCCCAGCUGCACAGCCCAUGACCUUGGGCACGUCCUUGAGCGUCUCUGUGCCUCAGUCUGGUCACAGUGCCCGGGGGCAUUUGGAGAAGCCGGUGAGGCGCCAGGGAGGUGCAGGGGUGCUGGGGGAGGGCUGGUGGAACUCCCCAGGGGUGGAAGGGUGCGGGCGAGGGCACAGAGCCUGUGUUAGCUCGUGGUCACGGGGGGGUUCCAGCGCCCCUCUGGUGGUUGGCGUUCCUGGUGAGACCUCAGCACGCAGCUCUUUCUCUGACGGCGGCCGAGGGGGCUGCGAGUGUGUGGGGGGAACAGCGGGUUCCCGGUGCAGCCUCGUCCUUUCUCCUUGAGUAGGAGGCAGCGGCCGCAGGGGGAGCACGAGAAGAUGCCCAGCCUUGAACACAGCGAAUGGCACUAAACGUUGGAAACUCAGGAAAACCGGCCAGACGGACACAAGGAAGCCAUCCUCCCACGUCUGAGGGCGCGUGCGACUCCUCCUGGACCACCAGCAGCAUCUGUCAGGUCACAGGACUGCUGAGGUCUGCACAGCGGGGGGUCUGGCUGCUUAGUGGAAAUCUGAGGUUUUCUUCAAGUGCAGUGUGCCCUUAUUUAGUUUUUUUUCUGAAGAUGGGUCAUCUGGGGCCUGGAGGCGGCUGGAUGGAGAGGGUUCUGCACAGAGCCCGGGGGCUGGGCUUUUUCUUUCUGCCGAGGGAUCAAAGCUGGCAGGUGGACAAGGAGCGUCCGGGAGACAAUGUGCAGGGAUCACCGGGGACCCCUUGGGUUAGAGAUUUUAAUCUUUCCCCCAUAGCGAAGGGGUUGUGUGUGUGUGUAUUUGUUGUUGAGACUUUAAAGGUAAUUUAGAGAACAAAACUAAGGAAGUAAAUGUCACAUGAACUCUGCUGAAAGUGAGAUGCGGGCAUCUUUUCUACAUGUGCACGUUUCCCCCCCAAACGGGACUGUAUACAUGAUUUUGUGACCUGCAUUUGUUGCUUAACGGUAAAUCAUGGUGUCUUUUGUCGUCUCUUAAAAAUUAAUCUCUUAUAAAUAAUUUUAACUCA
Long non-coding RNA from Leopardus geoffroyi (Geoffroy's cat), 1418 nucleotides. RefSeq lists it as uncharacterized. The transcript has 2 exons. The record is from RefSeq and is a predicted model, not a curated record. NCBI's taxonomy places the organism in Eukaryota, Metazoa, Chordata, Mammalia, Carnivora, Felidae.